GAUGAACGCUGGCGGCGUGCCUAAUACAUGCAAGUCGAGCGAACAGACGAGGAGCUUGCUCCUCUCACGUUAGCGGCGGACGGGUGAGUAACACGUGUAUAACCUACCUAUAAGACUGGGAUAACUUCGGGAAACCGGAGCUAAUACCGGAUAAUAUAUUGAACCGCAUGGUUCAAUAGUGAAAGACGGUUUUGCUGUCACUUAUAGAUGGAUCCGCGCCGCAUUAGCUAGUUGGUAAGGUAACGGCUUACCAAGGCAACGAUGCGUAGCCGACCUGAGAGGGUGAUCGGCCACACUGGAACUGAGACAGGGUCCAGACUCCUACGGGAGGCAGCAGUAGGGAAUCUUCCGCAGUGGGGGAAAGCCUGACGGAGCAACGCGGCGUGAGUGAUGACGGUCUUCGGAUCGUAAAACUCUGUUAUUAGGGAAGAACAAAUGUGUAAGUAAAUAUGCACGUAUUGACGGUAACUAAUCAGAAAGCCACGGCUAACUACGUG
This 497-nucleotide ribosomal RNA is filed under the name uncultured bacterium. Its description in RNAcentral is "partial 16S ribosomal RNA". It matches the Rfam family "Bacterial small subunit ribosomal RNA", at positions 28 to 507 of the family's 1533-position model. The record is from RNAcentral.